This 1610-nucleotide unclassified non-coding RNA is filed under the name uncultured fungus. RNAcentral describes it as "sequence contains 18S rRNA gene, ITS1, 5.8S rRNA gene, ITS2, 28S rRNA gene". The stretch from base 732 to 1610 matches the Rfam family "Eukaryotic large subunit ribosomal RNA", at positions 1 to 961 of the family's 3401-position model. The record is from RNAcentral. Lineage: Eukaryota; Fungi.
GGAAGGAUCAUUACCACACCGAUCCACGAUCUUUUUCACCGUGAAGUGCGGUCCACUGGAUGCUGGUGGGUUAGUUUGAUAGGAUUUGUUCCUGUGGAGCUGCUCACUGGUGGGACUGCAAACAUCAAGUGCUGUUAGUUGUCUAGAAAUGGAAAGCUAAAGGUGCGCCCGUCAUUUUACGACGUUAACCGGUCUUGACCAAACAAACUGAACCAAAAGGGUCGGUCCAAACCGUAACACUUACUGUACACGGCGAGGACAGACUCGACAAAGUAAAUAACUUACAACUUUCAGCGAUGGAUGUCUAGGUUCCCACAACGAUGAAGAACGCAGCGAAAUGCGAUACGUAAUGCGAAUUGCAACACCUCGUGAAUCAUCAAGAUUUUGAACGCACACUGCGCCUACGAGUUUUCUCGGUGGCAUGCUUGUCUGAGUGUCAGUGAACACCCCUCAGCGUCAACUUGUUUGACGGCUGGAUGCAGGAUUUGGCGGGAUUAAACAUCCUGUCAAAUUCAGUGUAGGGUUGACCCUGCCCCAUUACCGGCUUGGUCUAAUUUCACACCAAUGUUAUUGUUGGACGUACCGAUAUGCUCGACCCCAGUCAAUCUGUGUGGCACAGCACUCUGUCUCUUGUAGCUCUCGAGCCACAGCGACAUCAAGGAGCGUUGAACCACAUAUUUUGCCGUCAAGCAACGGUCUGGACAGUGCUAACACAGCACACACUCACUUUCUGAUCUCAGAUCAAGCAAGAAGACCCGCCGAAUUUAAGCAUAUAACUAAGCGGAGGAAAAGAAACUAACCAGGAUUCCGUCAGUAAGGGCGACUGAAGCCGGAAUAGCUCACCAUGUGAAUCUGUGCUCAUGCACCGAAUUGUGGUCUGGAGACGCUUGCAUUACUGGCCGGGCCAAGUCCCUUGGAACAGGGCAGCUGAGAGGGUGAGACUCCCGUUCGCCUGGCCUUUGGAGUGAGUGUCAACGAGUCGAGUUGUUUGGGAUUGCAGCUCUAAGUGGGUGGUAAAUUCCAUCUAAAGCUAAAUAUUGGUGGGAGACCGAUAGCGAACAAGUACCGUGAGGGAAAGAUGCAAAGAACUUUGAAAAGAGAGUUAAAGAGUACCUGAAAUCGCUGAAACGGAAGCGAAGGAAACCAGUGCUAGCUGCGUCAUAUUUCCCAUUCCGCUUGCGGGUUGGGCGCUGUGGCCAGCGUAGUCAGGCUUGGUUGGGAUGGUCAGAACCGCGCCGCGAGAGUUGAUCUCGGCAUGUCUGUGACUGUUUGGACUGAGGCUGGCGAAAUGGUUUUCUUUACCCCGUCUUGAAACACGGACCAAGGAGUCUAACAUAUGUGCGAGUACAGAGGUGGCAAACCUCCGUGCGCAAUGAAAGUGACAGUGGCUGGAAUUUGAUUGCACAGUCAGCCGGCCUCAAUGUUUCGGCAGAACGGUCUGAGUUUGAGCAUACAUGUUGGGACCCGAAAGAUGGUGAACUAUGCCUGUAUAGGGUGAAGCCAGGGGAAACUCUGGUGGAGGCUCGUAGCGAUUCUGACGUGCAAAUCGAUCGUCAAAUAUGGGUAUAGGGGCGAAAGACUAAUCGAACUAUCUAGUAGCUGGUUCCCUC